Molecule: ribosomal RNA, 374 nt
Filed under: Pseudarthrobacter oxydans
Lineage: Bacteria; Bacillati; Actinomycetota; Actinomycetes; Micrococcales; Micrococcaceae
Description: bacterial SSU rRNA
Rfam family: Bacterial small subunit ribosomal RNA
Source: RNAcentral
CGUGACGGGGUGACAGCCUUCGUGGUUGUAAACCUCUUUCAUUAUGGAACAAGCGUAAGUGACAAUACCUGCAAAAAAAGCGCCGGCUAACUACAUGCCACCAGCCCCGAAUACAUAGGGCGCAGCGUUAUCCGGAAUUAUUGGGCGUAAAGAGCUCGUAGGCGGUUUGUCGCGUCUGCCGUGAAAGUCCGGGGUUCAAGCCGUCUGCGGUGGGUGCGGACAAACAAGUGAUGUAUGGAAACUGGAAUUCCUGGUGUAGCAUUGAAAUCCUUAUAUUAGAAGAACACCGAUGGCGAACCCAGGUCCCUGGGCAUUAACUGACGCUGAGGAUCGAAAGCAUGGGGAGCGAACAGGGUUGGAUACCCUGGUAGUCC